UAGGUUGUAGCUAAAUUUAAGUGCUCCAUUUACGCUGGGGUGAUUGCCCGGCAGGCACCUCCUAA
RNAcentral lists this transfer RNA (65 nucleotides) under Palaemon serenus. RNAcentral describes it as "tRNA-Val". The record is from RNAcentral. Lineage: Eukaryota; Metazoa; Arthropoda; Malacostraca; Decapoda; Palaemonidae.